This 274-nucleotide ribosomal RNA is filed under the name uncultured bacterium. RNAcentral's name for it is "partial 16S ribosomal RNA". It matches the Rfam family "Bacterial small subunit ribosomal RNA", at positions 523 to 796 of the family's 1533-position model. The record is from RNAcentral.
AUACGGAGGGUCCAAGCGUUAUUCGGAUUCAUUGGGUUUAAAGGGUCCGCAGGCGGGAAAAUAAGUCAGUGGUGAAAGCCUACAGCUCAACUGUAGAACUGCCAUUGAUACUGUUUUUCUUGAGUAUAGAUGAAGUGGGCGGAAUAUAUCAUGUAGCGGUGAAAUGCAUAGAUAUGAUAUAGAACACCGAUUGCGAAGGCAGCUCACUAAACUAUUACUGACGCUCAGGGACGAAAGCGUGGGGAGCGAACAGGAUUAGAUACCCUAGUAGUCC